GUUUAUUUUAUUUCAUAUUUAUAUACAUUUAAGAACUUAAAUUAUUCAAAAACUAAAUAAAUUAAAUAUGUGUUCAAUGUCAAUGAAUAUUGCUAUAUUCUUAAUUUUUUAUUCCAAAAUAGGCAAUAACUGUUUCCUUUAUAGUUGACCCCACAUGUUGUCAUGAAAAUUAAUACUAAAUAAAAAAAGUAGCCAAUGAUCCAUGUUUCCUCUUACAGUCUUUGCUUUAUACGAAAAAUUAAAUACUAUGAAUAACUGCAUUGUUCCUUUUAUUGAUAAAGAGUUUCCCAUUAAAAGAGAAAGUAUUCCCAAUUAAUACUUUGCCUGUUAAAGUGUGCCCACCCCUUGACGAGUAAAAUCGUCUGGCGUUAGACAGAGUAAAAUAAUAAAGUAGGGUGCAUCAGGGCACAUGCAAUGCAACUCAAUGGGUUAACUGGAUCGCCCGGUGUUAGACAGAAUAAUAAAGUUGGGUUAACAAGUAAAAUUGUCUAGCUUUACAGUACAUCUUCCAAGGGGGGCUGGAUUUGGGGAGCAGGCCUACCACUUUGGGGGAGGGGGCUGCUUUUUUGAACCUCAAUUAAACUAUUACAGUAAUCCGACGGCCUGUCUAUAUGGUCUCCGGGUACUAGGGAAAUCUUACCCCCCCCCCCGAGCCACCCUGGCAAGGCAAAACUAUAUUCAUAUCCUAUUAUAGCAACUGCCAUGCAAGUGUUUGCAUGGAAAGUUUUGAACUUGUCUUGCCUAGUGGGAUGAUCCAGGUAGUAAGGUCACUCCGUCAGGGGGUACAGCAUCUCUAUUACUCAAGAUUAAUUAUAUAAACAUUGCCUGAGGCUAUGUAAAAUUGGUAGGCAUUCCAAUAUAAGAUCAAAUAGUCUCAGGUUUUCCCCAAUCAGAAGAACAAAUUAACAUAGUUGUAAGAAUCUGCAUCUGAUUCAUUGUAAUGAACAAUGUAGUUCAACA
Molecule: non-coding RNA, 960 nt
Organism: Paramuricea clavata
Lineage: Eukaryota; Metazoa; Cnidaria; Anthozoa; Malacalcyonacea; Plexauridae
Source: the annotation of a GenBank genome assembly